UUUUUUUCAUCUCAGAUCAUCCAGCCCCUCUUAGAACUUGACCAAAAUAGAAGCAAAUUAAAGUUGUAUAUUGGACACCUGACAGCCCUCUGCCAUGAUCGAGACCCCCUGAUCCUUCGUGGACUCACGCCACCAGCUUCCUAUAACUUGGACGAUGACCAGGCAGCUUGGGAGAAUGAGCUGCAGAAGAUGACCCAGGAACAGCUUCAGAAUGAGUUAGAAAAAGGUGAACGGGACAACGCAGAACUGCAGGAGUUUGCCAACGCCAUUCUUCAGCAAAUAGCUGAUCAUUGCCCCGACAUCCUGGAGCAAGUGGUCAACGCAUUAGAGGAGUCAUCUUGACCCUGCUUCGUGGGGAGUGGCCAGCCCAGCAGCCAAGAAAGGGGGACUGUAGGGAACAGGCACCCAAAAACUUCUUGGCACCAAACACUACAAAGUACAUCCUGUCUUGCUCACUUGAAGAGGUGUGAUUCCAGCACCACUGCUACAUCUGUCAUCUUACUCUGUCUUUCUGCUUUGGGUGUUGUCUCUACACUAAUUUUCUUGAUGUCCAGGGUGGGUAAAUGGCCAAAUCUCUAUGAAGGACUGCCAUCCAGUCAUCAACAGGAGAACUGUGGAAGCUGGUGGCUCUGCCCAUACAGAGGGACAUGGUGUAGAGAGCCCUCCUACCUUCUGUCCUUCAACGUGAGAACCAAAUCUGGAAUCUACUUGGAGUUCAGCAUAUUGACAGAAUCCCUCACAGUGGACCAGAGAGCUGAGUGUAAUAAUAUCACAAUAGGUGCUUUCUCCUAAAAGGAAAAAAAAUCUCAAAAAGAGUAUUGGAUAAAGAGAGGUGAGAGGAAAGAGAGAACAGGGACAAAGAGAAAACUAACUCUUCUUUUUACUGUCUCUUUUGUUUAUUUUCAUGUGUCAUGUUUUAUACAGGGGCACUACAAGCAGGCCUCGCGAUAGCUUAGCAAGUACCAGUCCCCCAGGUUGUGAGUCUUCACCCCAGCCCUGUCUGUCUGUCUCACCCUCUCCUGCUCUACUCCUAGAUGAACAGUUCUUCCCCUAGUCUCUCUUGUUUAGGACCUUUGAUCUUAUCCUACUUAGUUGUUGGAUCAGAUACUUCUAGCUGAGAGAAGAGGGUUGGACAUGUGAGCCCUGUCUUCGCCACCUGCAGCUUGGCUCCUGCAGAAGAUGACCAUGCCUUGGGGUCAGACUGCUUUCUCCUGAGCAUCUCCAGAGUGCUGUCUGCCAUCCUGCCACCACAUCCCGAGCUCCUGCAGCCCAGUGGCCAUACCGUUUACAACCCAUCUCUCACCCUUUCAGCUUUACUCUUGACCUGCUCUCUCAGAACCACAGCCUUGUUCAUUGCCUGGAACCUUCUUGCGGCACAACUGCAUGCUUCUUAUCCCACGCACAUUCCUUCCUUCAUCCUUCCAUUCAGAGAAUAUUUAUGAAAUGCCUGCUGUGUACAAAUCACUGUGCAAGGCGCCCAUCCUAGGAAAGUCUCUGCAGUGAGGGAGAGGUGCAGAGGAUUCUGAGACAUCCCCGGGGGAGUCAAAGCAGCAAAAGCGUACCUUCCCUUACCCCAUCUUAAUAGAAUGUAUCUUUUCUAGGAAAGUCUUUCACAAAUCAGCACUUCUUGUCAUAACAGAAUGGAUGGGUUUGGGGGCUUAGUCAUACAUUAGCCUACAGGAUCCACUUGGUGAUUCAGGAUUUUUGCUGUUUGUUGUCGUUACCCUUAAAGAGUGUGCUGUUUAGAAGGCUAUGAGAAUCCACUUGUGGAUGGUGAUUUCUUACCACAUCUGCAUGCACUUUGUGGAAUUUGGCCGGCUCCAUGUUGCAAAUCAGAAAGUUGACCUCAAAGUUGCAAGUCCACUUGAAGGUAUUGGCAUUUUGAGGGGCAUUUUCCCAAGCACAGACAAUGGCAGUUGUAAACAACUAGACAGCAAGAAAUAGACCACUUAACCCACAUCUAGCCCUUUGACCAUGUCUACCCCCAGAAACCCACCAGACACAUCAGAUAAAAGUCACUGAACUGGACGUUUUUAUCUUGCGCUUUGUCCUCUCUCCUUCCCCAGUUGCUCACUCAAAAGAAUUUAGUGCUGCCCGUGAAGUCCUCGCAGCCGUGGGUCCAGGUCCUUCCCACCUCAGCCCUUGACUGUCCCGCUAACUUACAUGAUCGCCUCUCCAGCUCCCUCAUUCCCUGCUGUAAAAUACUCCCUCUCCCUGUGAGAAGCUGCGGAGCAGUCCUUAUUGAAGGUUUAAAUGGGCUCUGCUCAUAAACCUCUCACUGAGAUGCUUCCUGACAGCCAGGCUGGCCAGAGGGAGGUGCAGGAGAUAGACAGCCACGGGUGUCGUCUGUGGUCAGUUCCCUCAGUUCUGUUUAUUGUACGGCCCAUAAACCAUGCACAAAGCUCCCAGUGUAUCAGGGCUGGAGUGUUAGAAUCUCACUUCAUCCACCAUAGUGUGAAGAACUGAGGUAUGACAACAGCCUUCACAGGGCUACAGCAGAACAGAGAAAGCAGGAGAAGAGCCUGGGACCCAGUGACAUGGGCUGGCGCUGGUCUGGGAGCACAGGCGUCGGCAGCCUCCUGGAUCCAGCCCGUCCUGCCUCGCGCAUCCAGCACCGCUCCCGCCACUCUUGCCACUGGCAUGUGGCUCUCCGGCAUCUCCUUCCUCCUUCUUGUUUUGAUUUUCCCAUCAUUUCUCCUCCAGGAAAACAACAGGAGCCCUCUGUGACAAGUGCUUCUGAGAAAAAUAAAUUCUAGGACAGACAUCCUCUGUCUGGUCUCUGUGAACCAUAGCUGGGAAUCCCCUUAAUCCUUCUUGAGCGAUGAUCUGGUGUCUCAUGUGACUCUGGGGACUGUUUGGCUAAAGUUUAAUGGUAAACGUGGCCUGCCUUUAUAUUACAGGGGCAAAGUUAACACAGUGUCUAGCAUUAGAGUAUCUUGUUGAGUUAAGAUCAUUUGUUGAGCCAACAUUUACUAACGCCUAACUCCCGCUGCACUGGCACUUGUCGUCCUGUGACCCUCUUCUGGCAUUCAUGGUUUCAUAAGGUCACUCAACUGCUCCUGGAGGUAGAGAGCCUUGAAAACUCUCCGCAUCCUUCCCCAGACUCAUCCGUUCUAUUUGCAGGUCUCAUUGCUCUGUAGCACCUAAAGAUCUGAACCCCAAAUCAAGGUCAUCAUAAAGAGGACAAUAGAGUGGGUGGAAUCCAACCCGGGCUCACGACUAAGGAAAUAGCGGGGGAGUUUCCCCUCUUUUCAUGUUCCUCCAUCCCAGGCACUUACUGAGUUGCUCAUGGAGUAUCUGAAUUGAGAUUUGUAAGGACUUGGAUACCAUUGGAAAUGUAGAAGAUUUUAAAUGGGCUUUAACCUGUUAAGAAAUAGCAACGGGAAUCUCCAAAUUCAUCUCAGCUCUAGCCGUUGUCCUUGCACCUUACAGUCUAAAGACGGAAGUGCGUCUGUCUCUUCCUCACACUGGGGCUUUAGAAACACUGCUGGAGCAGACGAGCCGGCCCGCCCGCGGUGUUGAGGGUGGCCAUGUGACUUGCCACCUGUCGUCAAAGUCUGUUUCUUUUUCCAUGAGGAGCUCAUUGGCUCGCUCACUCCCCAGAGUGAGAAGAGGAAGGAGAAGUCCUCACAGAGUUUUAGUUCACCGCUGACCCCGACCCUCCGCUGCUGAUGGACAGGAUUGGCAUUUGGAUUUGCUGCUAGAGAGUCCAGCUGAUUCCAGAACCAAAUCACCCUCCUCUUUGGGCCACCCUCAGGGGCUUUGAGGAAAGAGCGAGGCAAGGAAUACGCUCCCGUGGCAUUUCCUAGGUCCCAGUGGACCCUGCGUCAGCUGUGUCACUAGCUUUCACGUCUGCCCCCCCAGCCUCCUCCCCACCCACGAGAGGUGAGAACCGUGGACAAGAUCGAGGACGCGGUGCCCACAGCCGCCCACCCAUCACUGCCAGCCCUGGGGCUCUCGGGAGGUGACCCGAACCUGCAGAGGAAUGUUUUUAAAAGGGUCUGGAGCCUCCCCCAUGUAAAUUAAAAGAACAUUUAGGCAAGAAAAAACAUGUAUUACAGGGAAAUCCUUCUGAACAAAAUGGCUGUCUUUACCUGUUCUUUUUAAGCAAAAACUGUUUCCAAACUUUUUAGUGUCAAAACUGUAACCAGGUGUCUCCUGAUUUUCUUCCAAUGUGUUUGGCAAGUGCUGUGACCCUGUUGUAGGCAUUUCUCCUCCUGACUCUUUUGGGGGAGAAGUGGUUUUAGGGCUUGAUUUGGGGAGUGGAUUUCUGUCCCAUCCCACCUCCUCUUUUGUUUCUGUGCUUGUUGGUAUUGUCUGUGUGAUUCAGAGAAUUGGGCAGUUACAUUGUGUCCAUUGUUGAGAUUAUUAAAAUAUUAAAAAGUAGUUGUAGAACUGAGAAAUUAAAGAGCUGUGUUUUAAAAAUGCAAACCAAUACCAUGUUAAUGCAGGAGUUCAAGCUAUGGGGCAGCCCACCUCCUCCCCUCCCUAGCUGGCCGAGGUGGCAGCUGGGCUAGCCGCUGGGGAAAUGGUGACCACGGUCCAGGCAGGUGACUGCCUGGGUGAAAGAGACAACUACUCAGUGAAAGGAAUAAGAACCUGGGGCCUCAAGGCUCUCAAUCGUGCCAGGAUUUUCCUAUACACCCUCAGGACCUCUGGGUAGAGGUUUCAAACUUUAUGACCCCAGAACCUCCCUCACCCCCACAUUGGUCCCAGCUCAGUGUGCCUAAUACUGUGUGGUAACCUGGGCUUGCCUCUGAAGCCCCAUACCUGGCAGGCCCCAGGACCUCUUUCCUGCCCACUUGGUGCUAUAUCAUCCAGUGACCCAUCCAAUACAGGCCAAGCACUGGCCAACCUGGAGCUGCAAUCCAGGUGGAAUGCAUUGCACUCAGAUCUCAGUUCCUUCUGCUUCAGGCCCUGGAUUCUUUCCCGUUAAGCUCCUUAGACCCAGGUCUCCCAUGCCUAGCUUGCUGUCUUGGCCCCAGAGAUGCCAUGAUGAGGAAAGGAGUGGACCGUACUGAAGCCAGAGCCAGCACGCUGACCCCUCCCCCACCACACCAGUAUUGCAGCCAUCCUCUUACGCAGCUGACCGACCUGAGGGCACCACCACCCAUGCUGGCCUGCCUGCCCCAUGGCAGGACUAGCCCAAGAACCUGCCGAGCACAUCGGGACAUCCAGGGUGGGGACUUGGGGUUCGCUCCCCUAUGCUUCAGAAGAGAAGUGCUGCACUUUAGUGGAGAAGCUAAGGAGCGCUGGGUACUGACUCCUUGUAGCUUGAGUUCCUUUUGGUGACAGUAGCAGCCUAAAGGUGGUGUCUGUGAUGCAAAUGCACCUGCUGCCUUCAACUGUAUGUGUGUAUUGCUGGAGUCUGUUACUGACAGGAUAAUGACAUUACAAAGAAAUUGUGUCAUAUUCAACUUUGCCUUGAUAAUUAUUGUAAACACUUUGUUCAUUUUUUCUUUUUUAUUCACAAACUAAAUCCAUCAGGAAAUUAUAAAGUUAUUUAAAAACUG
This is a long non-coding RNA of Galeopterus variegatus (Sunda flying lemur), 5513 nucleotides long. RefSeq lists it as uncharacterized. The record is from RefSeq and is a predicted model, not a curated record. The transcript is spliced from 2 exons. Lineage: Eukaryota; Metazoa; Chordata; Mammalia; Dermoptera; Cynocephalidae.